Non-coding RNA from Microcebus murinus (gray mouse lemur), 422 nucleotides. The record is from RefSeq and is a predicted model, not a curated record. NCBI's taxonomy places the organism in Eukaryota, Metazoa, Chordata, Mammalia, Primates, Cheirogaleidae.
UGUCUAUAUCAAACCCAUGAUCAUGGAUACCUACAUGGAAGAAUGAAUGGGAACAGGAGUAGUGGGUGAUGGAGAACCAAUACAAUGAAGAUGAUUUACACGGGCCAACGAUCAUACAAAUCCAGGAACUGAAAAGUGUGAUUAAUUCAAUUCUCUACCCAUCUGUCCACAGGUGAAAUAUAUUGCACUGUGGGAAGAAGUUUGCAUUUGCAGGAGGGAAGGAGAGAGUAAUUUUGGACAACGGGACACGUGGAGGUGUGGGGCAGGCAGUAAGAGAUCCCUGAGCGAUGCUGGGAGGAAGUAUUAAACUCUGAAGCAGCAAGCACCGAGGAAAGGCCAUGUGAACUAGAGCAAGGAGGUGGCCUUCUGUAAGAGGCCAGAAAGAGAGCCCUCACCAGGAACUAAGUCUGCCAGCACCUUGA